Molecule: ribosomal RNA, 1428 nt
Filed under: uncultured organism
Description: 16S ribosomal RNA
Rfam family: Bacterial small subunit ribosomal RNA
Source: RNAcentral
GGCGUGCUUAACACAUGCAAGUCGAACGGAAAGGCCCUGCUUUUGUGGGGUGCUCGAGUGGCGAACGGGUGAGUAACACGUGGGUAACCUGCCCUUGACUUUGGGAUAACUUCAGGAAACUGGGGCUAAUACCGGAUAGGAGCUCCUGCUGCAUGGUGGGGGUUGGAAAGUUUCGGCGGUUGGGGAUGGACUCGCGGCUUAUCAGCUUGUUGGUGGGGUAGUGGCUUACCAAGGCUUUGACGGGUAGCCGGCCUGAGAGGGUGACCGGCCACAUUGGGACUGAGAUACGGCCCAGACUCCUACGGGAGGCAGCAGUGGGGAAUAUUGCACAAUGGGCGGAAGCCUGAUGCAGCAACGCCGCGUGCGGGAUGACGGCCUUCGGGUUGUAAACCGCUUUCGCCUGUGACGAAGCGUGAGUGACGGUAAUGGGUAAAGAAGCACCGGCUAACUACGUGCCAGCAGCCGCGGUGAUACGUAGGGUGCGAGCGUUGUCCGGAUUUAUUGGGCGUAAAGGGCUCGUAGGUGGUUGAUCGCGUCGGAAGUGUAAUCUUGGGGCUUAACCCUGAGCGUGCUUUCGAUACGGGUUGACUUGAGGAAGGUAGGGGAGAAUGGAAUUCCUGGUGGAGCGGUGGAAUGCGCAGAUAUCAGGAGGAACACCAGUGGCGAAGGCGGUUCUCUGGGCCUUUCCUGACGCUGAGGAGCGAAAGCGUGGGGAGCGAACAGGCUUAGAUACCCUGGUAGUCCACGCUGUAAACGGUGGGUACUAGGUGUGGGGUCCAUUCCACGGGUUCCGUGCCGUAGCUAACGCUUUAAGUACCCCGCCUGGGGAGUACGGCCGCAAGGCUAAAACUCAAAGGAAUUGACGGGGCCCCGCACAAGCGGCGGAGCAUGCGGAUUAAUUCGAUGCAACGCGUAGAACCUUACCUGGGUUUGACAUGGAUCGGGAGUGCUCAGAGAUGGGUGUGCCUCUUUUGGGGUCGGUUCACAGGUGGUGCAUGGCUGUCGUCAGCUCGUGUCGUGAGAUGUUGGGUUAAGUCCCGCAACGAGCGCAACCCUUGUUCACUGUUGCCAGCACGUUAUGGUGGGGACUCAGUGGAGACCGCCGGGGUCAACUCGGAGGAAGGUGGGGAUGACGUCAAGUCAUCAUGCCCCUUAUGUCCAGGGCUUCACGCAUGCUACAAUGGCUGGUACAGAGAGUGGCGAGCCUGUGAGGGUGAGCGAAUCUCGGAAAGCCGGUCUCAGUUCGGAUUGGGGUCUGCAACUCGACCUCAUGAAGUCGGAGUCGCUAGUAAUCGCAGAUCAGCAACGCUGCGGUGAAUACGUUCCCGGGGCUUGUACACACCGCCCGUCAAGUCAUGAAAGUUGGUAACACCCGAAGCCGGUGGCCUAACCGUUGUGGGGGAGCCGUCGAAGGUGGGACUGGUGAUU